RNAcentral lists this ribosomal RNA (403 nucleotides) under uncultured bacterium. RNAcentral describes it as "bacterial SSU rRNA". It matches the Rfam family "Bacterial small subunit ribosomal RNA", at positions 356 to 773 of the family's 1533-position model. The record is from RNAcentral.
GGGGGAUAUUGCACAAUGGAGGAAACUCUGAUGCAGCAACGCCGCGUGAGGGAAGAAGGUCUUCGGAUUGUAAACCUUUGUCCUUGGUGACGAAACAAAUGACGGUAGCCAAGGAGGAAGCUCCGGCUAACUACGUGCUAGCAGCCGCGGUAAUACGUAGGGAGCAAGCGUUGUCCGGAUUUACUGGGUGUAAAGGGUGCGUAGGCGGCUCUGCAAGUCAGGCGUGAAAACUAUGGGCUUAACCCAUAGACUGCGUUUGAAACUGUGGGGCUUGAGUGAAGUAGAGGUAGGCGGAAUUCCCGGUGUAGCGGUGAAAUGCGUAGAGAUCGGGAGGAACACCAGUGGCGAAGGCGGCCUGCUGGGCUUUAACUGACGCUGAGGCGCGAAAGCGUGGGGAGCAAAC